GUAGCUCAACAAGUAGACAAUGUCUUUUUUUUCAGUUAUUGAAAAAUGGGAUAUAGUAAUUGAUUAAUGUCUGACUAAGAUGCCCCUAAUGCAGGGCUGGCCAUCUGCGGGCAGUAUGUGACCCAUGCCCACACCCAGAGUGGCCCCUUGAAUUUUUUAUUUUUUUGGGGGGGGGGGGGGUCGGCGUUUGGUCAGGGAGGAGAAUCUCUAAACGUACCUGAUCCGUUAAUUAGUAAUAGCACCAUUCACCCAUUUACAACUCGAUGGCACAUCAAUUCCUUGUGAUUCCACCGGGUCUUCUCCAUCUAAGAUGAAUAAGAGUCCGAUGAUUUUCAACAUAUUUAAGGCGAGUCUUUGUCUCCAGUCUGCUUCGAAAUAUUGUCACUCAUGAUUGUUUUUUUUUUUUGAGUGAUGAGUCAUAGAAGACAAUGAAAGCUGUUUUCCUUCAGAGAAGACUGUGGCUUUGUUGUAUAAUUACCAGGAAGUGCACACUAGCUUGUUUUUCAUUUUGUGAGAUGUCAGAGACCAGUUUAGGGUGUAGACUGCCUUUCGCCCGAAGUUAGCUCAGAUAAAGUCCCAUGACCCAUGUGAAGAUAAGUGGCUUGGAAAAUUGAUGUAUGGCUGGAUGGAUCACACUUAGCUUCACAUGCAACAGAACUGACGAGAAAGUUACUACUGUCUGGCAAUCCGGACCAAACUCUGACACCGAUCGUACAGGGACCAAAUUAACAGCCCGUAUCAGCAGGUUUGGUACCCCAUUCUCCUGAAGCAUCGGCCACAGAACUCUCCAGGGGACACGGUCGAACGCCUUCUCCAAGUCCACAAGACACAUGUAGACUGGUUGGGUGAACUCCCAUGCACCCACAAGGACACUGCAGAGGGUGUAAAGCUAGUCCACUGUUCCACGGCCAGGAGGAAAGCAGCAUUGGUCCUCCUGAAUCUGAGAUCCAACUUCCCAAUGGACCUUCCUCUCCUGGACCUUUGAAUAGUCCUUACCAGGGAGGCUGAGGAGUGCGAUCCCACUGUAGUUGGAACACAGCCUACUGUCCCCAUUCUGGAAAAAAAGGGGUAACCACCCCAGUCUGUCAAUGCAGAGGAACUGUCCCCGAUAUUGAUUUUAUUUGUAAUUUUUUAAAUCACAUGACAUAUUGAGAACAAUGAUACUUUUUAAAAAAUACAAAUUUUAGCUGCAUGGAUCAUUGAAUGGGCCCUGGCACACCUUAUGCUAAUAAUUAGUUUCCUGUUUUAUGGUGAGCUGGGUGGCGGGACCAGUAAAGCCACUCUUUCCUCGGUCGCCAUCGCACUUUUUUCCCUUCUCAUCCUCCCGCUGCGCACGGUGCAGGAGGAGGAGGAGGAGGAGGAGUGAAUCCAGUAAACCGGUUGCAGUUAACUGAAGAGAUAAAGCACACGUGCGCGGCCCGGUGAACUAAAAUACCACCGUGCCGCUUUUGAAAAUCCCUUUGCGGGUGUUCUUUU
Syngnathoides biaculeatus (alligator pipefish) is the source of this 1476-nucleotide long non-coding RNA. RefSeq lists it as uncharacterized. The transcript is spliced from 3 exons. The record is from RefSeq and is a predicted model, not a curated record. Lineage: Eukaryota; Metazoa; Chordata; Actinopteri; Syngnathiformes; Syngnathidae.